GAAAUCCACUCGCCUAACGAGUGGGCGUCCGGCGGAAACUCCAGGGCUUGGGACCGGAAGACUUGAGGGGUACGUCUGGGGUAGGAGUGAAAUCCUGUAAUCCUGGACGGACCGCCGAUAGCGAAAGCACCUCAAGACGACGGAUCCGACAGUGAGGGACGAAAGCUAGGGUCUCGAACCGGAUUAGAUACCCGGGUAGU
Molecule: ribosomal RNA, 200 nt
Filed under: uncultured archaeon
Lineage: Archaea
Description: partial 16S ribosomal RNA
Rfam family: Archaeal small subunit ribosomal RNA
Source: RNAcentral